Molecule: long non-coding RNA, 1010 nt
Filed under: Mus musculus (house mouse)
Lineage: Eukaryota; Metazoa; Chordata; Mammalia; Rodentia; Muridae
Description: RIKEN cDNA 4833415N18 gene (4833415N18Rik)
Source: RNAcentral
AGAGCCUCCUCCUAGCUGCCCAUGAGCCAGUCUUCUUCUAGCAGACUUCAGAUGAAGAUGUAGAACUCUCAGCUCCUCCUACACCAUGCCUGCCUGGAUACUGCCAUGCUCCUGCCUUGAUGAUAAUGGACUGAACCUCUGAACCUAUGAGGAGAUGAGACUCCCAGGAGGAUGAGGGCCACCCACAGGGCUAUGGAAGAGGCUCAAGACUGAUGAGGAAGGAAGAAAAUCAGCUGGAUCCUCAAGACACAAACAGACUAACAGACUCUUUCAUUGCAACCUUUAGGGCGGAGGAAAUUUGACAUAGGAUGCAGGGGCAUCAUACGAUCGACUAUGAGCAAUGUGCCCACCGCGUGAGCCUCUCAGGACACAGGAAGUAAACCAACAGUCUCACUUUCCAGUGUCUCACCUCGGCUUCUCUUCUGUUCUCUUUAAUUUGUCUUCAGAGCACUGAGCAGUGGUCGUCCUUGGUCCCAGACAAUACUGUCUCUAAGAGAAGACCAACACAGUUAGAGACAGGACGGCCCAAAGGAGAAUCAGAUCCGUCCAGUUUAGGCCAUGUAUCUAGUUAUGGACCCGUCAGCUUUGACAAAGGAGCUAGGGUCUUGUAGCGUGCUUGUUCUUAUAGAAGGUGCAGGUCAGAGGGCCUGGCUGCCCACGUCCUCCUUGGAGACUCAGAAAGAAAUAAGAAUUUCAAGAGAUAGUAGUGAAGUGGUUUACAGAAAAGAAUUUCCGAAUUUUCCUUUUCUUUUCCUCAGUCCUUAUUGCAUUAACCUUGUGAUUGUCAACAUACUUGUGUGUUGCUGAAUAUUUUAAGAAAAAUCAACAAAUGUUACCUUGAAACAAUAACAAAGCCCAGAAAAAUGCAAAACAGCCUUGGUCUGUCCCAGCGUCUUUCAUCUGAGAGCACAGAGAGCCAGCGCUAGCCUGGGGAGGGGGUGUGUGGCUAGAAUGUGUGUGUGCUCAGGGCUUUCAUUAAAAACACAUUUUAUUUACUUUAAAAAAAAAAA